This is an RNA transcript of Drosophila obscura, 519 nucleotides long. RefSeq lists it as uncharacterized. The transcript is spliced from 3 exons. Lineage: Eukaryota; Metazoa; Arthropoda; Insecta; Diptera; Drosophilidae. The record is from RefSeq and is a predicted model, not a curated record.
ACCAGGCGACCAACAAUCAAUAGCUUUCCACUUGUUUGCAACGACAGUUCCAGUGAGAAAAUGAAGGUUACCUUAAUUGUAAUGGGGCUCAUGCUCAUCCCAUUGGCAAAUUCUCUGGUGCACUGGAAAAAACUGGAGCCAGGCGCAAGCGGUGGCUGCAAGGGCACAAAGGGCGACUUGAAAGUGGGCGAAUUUGAGCAAGACCCUCUUGUGUGCGGCGCUCUGCAUUGUACGGACAAUGCAGGCAACGCAUUCAUUCACUAGCAAUUGUCAAAUACCAAUUACGGUCGCACUGUGCUCUGGAAGAGGCGUUAUAACGGAUAUCGAGUUUCCCGACUGUUGUUGGAUAUGCACUACUUAUAAGAACUGCUGAUGAACGGACGCAUGUACAAGAUGGGAAGGACCACAUGAGCUGCGGGCGCUUUGCAAAGGUUUCCCCAGCCCAAAGAUGUGUCCAUUGGGAGGGAAAAAAAUAAAUGAAAAAGGAGAAACACACAAUAAAUGAAUAGUUAUAAACCA